GACGAACGCUGGCGGCGUGCUUAACACAUGCAAGUCGAGCGGUAAGGCCCUUUCGGGGGUACACGAGCGGCGAACGGGUGAGUAACACGUGGGUGACCUGCCCUUAGCUCUGGGAUAAGCCUGGGAAACUGGGUCUAAUACCGGAUAUGACCUCAUGACGCAUGUUGUGGGGUGGAAAGCCUCGUGCGGCUAGGGAUGGGCCCGCGGCCUAUCAGCUUGUUGGUGGGGUGAUGGCCACCAAGGCGACGACGGGUAGCCGGCCUGAGAGGGCGACCGGCCACACUGGGACUGAGACACGGCCCAGACUCCUACGGGAGGCAGCAGUGGGGAAUCUUGCGCAAUGGGCGAAAGCCUGACGCAGCGACGCCGCGUGAGGGAUGACGGCCUCGG
This 390-nucleotide ribosomal RNA is filed under the name uncultured bacterium. Its description in RNAcentral is "bacterial SSU rRNA". It matches the Rfam family "Bacterial small subunit ribosomal RNA", at positions 28 to 420 of the family's 1533-position model. The record is from RNAcentral.